GGAUAACGUUUGGAAACGAACGCUAAUACCGCAUGAUAUUAUCGAGCUGCAUGGCUUGAUAAUCAAAGGAGCAAUCCGCUGAAAGAUGGGCUCGCGUCCGAUUAGGUAGUUGGCGGGGCAACGGCCCACCAAGCCGACGAUCGGUAGCCGGACUGAGAGGUUGAACGGCCACAUUGGGACUGAGACACGGCCCAGACUCCUACGGGAGGCAGCAGUGAGGGAUAUUGGUCAAUGGGGGAAACCCUGAACCAGCAACGCCGCGUGAGGGAAGACGGUUUUCGGAUUGUAAACCUCUGUCCUCUGUGAAGAUAAUGACGGUAGCAGAGGAGGAAGCUCCGGCUAACUACGUGCCAGCAGCCGCGGUAAUACGUAGGGAGCAAGCGUUGUCCGGAUUUACUGGGUGUAAAGGGUGCGUAGGCGGCUUUGCAAGUCAGAAGUGAAAUCCAUGGGCUUAACCCAUGAACUGCUUUUGAAACUGCAGAGCUUGAGUGGAGUAGAGGUAGGCGGAAUUCCCGGUGUGGCGGUGAAAUGCGUAGAGAUCGGGAGGAACACCAGUGGCGAAGGCGGCCUGCUGGGCUCUAACUGACGCUGAGGCACGAAAGCGUGGGUAGCAAACAGGAUUAGAUACCCUGGUAGUCCACGCUGUAAACGAUGAUUACUAGGUGUGGGUGGACUGACCCCAUCCGUGCCGGAG
Molecule: ribosomal RNA, 694 nt
Filed under: uncultured bacterium
Lineage: Bacteria
Description: bacterial SSU rRNA
Rfam family: Bacterial small subunit ribosomal RNA
Source: RNAcentral